GAUGAACGCUGGCGGCGCGCCUAACACAUGCAAGUCGAACGAUUAAAGCACCUUCGGGUGUGUAUAAAGUGGCGAACGGCUGAGUAACACGUGGGCAACCUGCCCCUUUCAUUGGGAUAGCCACGGGAAACCGUGGAUAAUACCGAAUACUUCGAGACUUCCGCAUGGAAGACUCGAGAAAGCUCCGGCGGAGAGGGAUGGGCCCGCGGCCUGUUAGCUUGUUGGUGGGGUAACGGCCUACCAAGGCAAUGAUGGGUAGCUGGGUUGAGAGACCGACCAGCCAGAUUGGGACUGACACACGGCCCAGACUCCUACGGGAGGCAGCAGUGGGGAAUCUUGCACAAUGGGCGAAAGCCUGAUGCAGCGACGCCGCGUGCGGGAUGAAGGCCUUCGGGUUGUAAACCGCUUUCAGCAGGGACGAGGCGAAAGUGACGGUACCUGCAGAAGAAGCCCCGGCUAACUACGUG
RNAcentral lists this ribosomal RNA (467 nucleotides) under uncultured bacterium. RNAcentral's name for it is "partial 16S ribosomal RNA". It matches the Rfam family "Bacterial small subunit ribosomal RNA", at positions 28 to 507 of the family's 1533-position model. The record is from RNAcentral.